RNAcentral lists this ribosomal RNA (253 nucleotides) under uncultured bacterium. RNAcentral's name for it is "partial 16S ribosomal RNA". It matches the Rfam family "Bacterial small subunit ribosomal RNA", at positions 524 to 776 of the family's 1533-position model. The record is from RNAcentral.
UACGUAGGUGGCAAGCGUUGUCCGGAAUUAUUGGGCGUAAAGCGCACGCAGGCGGUCAGAUUAGUCUGCAGUGACAGUCGUCGGCUCAACUGACGAAGUACUGUGGAAACUGUCUGACUUGAGGGCUUCAGAGGGACACGGAAUUCCGGGUGGAGUGGUGAAAUGCGUAGAUAUCCGGAGGAACACCAAAGGCGAAGGCAGUGUCCUGGGAAGCAUCUGACGCUCAGGUGCGAAAGCUAGGGGAGCGAACAGG